RNAcentral lists this ribosomal RNA (444 nucleotides) under Salmonella enterica. RNAcentral describes it as "partial 23S ribosomal RNA". It matches the Rfam family "Bacterial large subunit ribosomal RNA", at positions 711 to 1152 of the family's 2925-position model. Lineage: Bacteria; Pseudomonadati; Pseudomonadota; Gammaproteobacteria; Enterobacterales; Enterobacteriaceae. RNAcentral also lists the same sequence under 2 other names. The record is from RNAcentral.
AGACCCGAAACCCGGUGAUCUAGCCAUGGGCAGGUUGAAGGUUGGGUAACACUAACUGGAGGACCGAACCGACUAAUGUUGAAAAAUUAGCGGAUGACCUGUGGCUGGGGGUGAAAGGCCAAUCAAACCGGGAGAUAGCUGGUUCUCCCCGAAAGCUAUUUAGGUAGCGCCUCGUGAAUUCAUCUCCGGGGGUAGAGCACUGUUUCGGCUAGGGGGCCAUCCCGGCUUACCAACCCGAUGCAAACUGCGAAUACCGGAGAAUGUUAUCACGGGAGACACACGGCGGGUGCUAACGUCCGUCGUGAAGAGGGAAACAACCCAGACCGCCAGCUAAGGUCCCAAAGUCAUGGUUAAGUGGGAAACGAUGUGGGAAGGCCCAGACAGCCAGGAUGUUGGCUUAGAAGCAGCCAUCAUUUAAAGAAAGCGUAAUAGCUCACUGGUCGA